UACAGAGGGGGCAAGCGUUGUUCGGAAUUACUGGGCGUAAAGGGCGCGUAGGCGGCCCGCUAAGUCGAACGUGAAAUCCCUCGGCUUAACCGGGGAACUGCGUCUGAUACUGGAUGGCUUGAGAUUGGGAGAGGGAUGCGGAAUUCCAGGUGUAGCGGUGAAAUGCGUAGAUAUCUGGAGGAACACCGGUGGCGAAGGCGGCAUCCUGGACCAACACUGACGCUGAGGAGCGAAAGCCAGGGGAGCAAACGGG
Molecule: ribosomal RNA, 253 nt
Filed under: uncultured bacterium
Lineage: Bacteria
Description: partial 16S ribosomal RNA
Rfam family: Bacterial small subunit ribosomal RNA
Source: RNAcentral